CUCCAGUGCUCUGGGAGAGUUUAUAGUCCUGAGAGUUGAACACUGGAUGACUGACAGCUGUCCUUCAUGACAACAGAAGCCACAGAAAUCCUCCUCUUCAUCGAAAACAUGACUUUGACCUCCGUCCUCAUCUGGACUCUCCUCUGCUGCUGCUUCACAGAGUCCAGAGGUCAGGUCACAGUGACUCAGCCUGGAGCAGUGAGCUCUGCUCUGGGAGGAUCCGUCACCAUCAGCUGUAGGACCAGUCAGCAGGUUUAUGGUGGGAGCGUUUUACACUGGUACCAACAGAGAGAUGGAGAAACUCCUAAACUGCUCAUUUACCUAACUAGCAGUCGAGCAUCAGGGACUCCAGAUCGUUUUUCAGGCAGUGGAUCAAACUCUGACUUCACUCUGACCAUCAGUGGAGUUCAGGCUGAAGAUGCAGCAGUUUACUACUGUCAGAGUUAUCACUAUAUCAACAGUCAGGAUGUGUUCACACAGUGAAAAAGCGUCGUACAA
Molecule: non-coding RNA, 498 nt
Organism: Epinephelus moara (kelp grouper)
Lineage: Eukaryota; Metazoa; Chordata; Actinopteri; Perciformes; Serranidae
Source: the annotation of a RefSeq genome assembly